RNAcentral lists this ribosomal RNA (387 nucleotides) under Triticum aestivum (bread wheat). RNAcentral's name for it is "partial small subunit ribosomal RNA". The record is from RNAcentral. Lineage: Eukaryota; Viridiplantae; Streptophyta; Magnoliopsida; Poales; Poaceae.
AUGGGAUGGCUUGGAGGAGGCCUGGCACUGUCUGCCGCCGGCGACGUGGCCUUCCCGGAGCUGCAGAUGGCGGCCUUGACGGAGGAGAGGAGGGAGGACGCCAUGGAGGAGGAGCCGGCGGCCGCCUUCCAGCAGCUGGUGGGCGCGGGGUGGGCCUGGUCCUGCACUGCUUCGGAGAUGGCCGCCAGCCUGGGCGUGGACUGGCGCGCCACUCCGCCGCAGUCACCGGAGCAGGAGGGGUCGCCACGGGAGGAGGUGUUGCAGGCACCUCCCGCCGUCCAGCCCGCCCCCGUCUACCAGGCACCGCACGCACCGCCGGCCCACCUGUGGACGCCGCCGGCCUACGUCGACCUCGUCAGCGACGAUGACGACACCGGCGGCCAGUGA